Molecule: unclassified non-coding RNA, 347 nt
Filed under: soil metagenome
Description: partial contains 5.8S ribosomal RNA, internal transcribed spacer 2, and large subunit ribosomal RNA
Rfam family: 5.8S ribosomal RNA (bases 1-120)
Source: RNAcentral
GAUGAAGAACGCAGCGAAAUGCGAUAAGUAAUGUGAAUUGCAGAAUUCAGUGAAUCAUCGAAUCUUUGAACGCACAUUGCGCCCGCCAGUAUUCUGGCGGGCAUGCCUGUCUGAGCGUCAUUUCAACCCUCAUGCCCCUAGGGCGUGGUGUUGGGGAUCGGCCAAAGCCCGCGAGGGACGGCCGGCCCCUAAAUCUAGUGGCGGACCCGUCGUGGCCUCCUCUGCGAAGUAGUGAUAUUCCGCAUCGGAGAGCGAUGAGCCCCUGCCGUUAAACCCCCAACUUUCCAAGGUUGACCUCAGAUCAGGUAGGAAUACCCGCUGAACUUAAGCAUAUAAUAAGCGGAGGA